RNAcentral lists this long non-coding RNA (860 nucleotides) under Salmo salar (Atlantic salmon). RNAcentral's name for it is "lncRNA (ENSSSAG00000115434.1)". The record is from RNAcentral. Lineage: Eukaryota; Metazoa; Chordata; Actinopteri; Salmoniformes; Salmonidae.
GCUACAUACAGUAGAGAGGCUAUAUACAGUAGAGAGGCUAUAUACAGUAGACAGGCUAUAUACAGUAGAGAGGCUACAUACAGUAGAGAGGCUAUAUACAGUAGACAGGCUAUAUACAGUAGAGAGGCUAUAUACAGUAGACAGGCUAUAUACAAUAGACAGGCUAUAUACAGUAGAGGCUAUAUACAGUAGAGAGGCUAUAUACAGUAGAGAGGCUAUAGACAGUAGAGAGGCUAUAGACAGUAGAGAGGCUAUAUACAGUAGAGAGGCUACAUACAGUAGAGGCUAUAUACAGUAGAGAGGCUACAUACAGUAGAGAGGCUAUAUACAGUAGAGGCUAUAUACAGUAGAGAGGAUAUAUACAGUAGAGAGGCUAUAUACAGUAGAGGCUAUAUACAGUAGAGAGGCUAUAUACAGUAGAGGCUAUAUACAGUAGAGGCUAUAUACAGUAGAGGCUAUAUACAGUAGAGAGGCUAUAUACAGUAGAGGCUAUAUACAGUAGAGAGGCUACAUACAGUAGAGGCUAUAUACAGUAGAGGCUAUAUACAGUAGAGAGGCUAUAUACAGUAGAGAGGCUAUAUACAGUAGAGAGGCUAUAUACAGUAGAGAGGCUAUAUACAGUAGAGAGGCUAUAUACAGUAGAGAGGUUAUAUACAGUAGAGAGGCUAUAUACAGUAGAGAGGUUAUAUACAGUAGAGAGGCUAUAUACAGUAGAGGUUAUAUACAGUAGAGAGGCUAUAUACAGUAGAGAGGCUACAUACAGUAGAGAGGCUACAUACAGUAGAGAGGCUAUAUACAGUAGAGAGGCUACAUACAGUAGAGAGGCUAUAUACAGUAGAGAGGCUAUAUACAGUAGAGAG